AGAGUUUGAUCAUGGCUCAGAACGAACGCUGGCGGCAGGCUUAACACAUGCAAGUCGAACGCUUCACCUUCGGGUGGGGAGUGGCAGACGGGUGAGUAACGCGUGGGAACGUACCCUUUGGUUCGGGAUAACCCAGGGAAACUUGGGCUAAUACCGGAUGCUCCGGAAACGGCAAAGAUUUAUCGCCAAAGGAUCGGCCCGCGUCGGAUUAGCUAGUUGGUGGGGUAACGGCCUACCAAGGCGACGAUCCGUAGCUGGUCUGAGAGGAUGAUCAGCCACACUGGGACUGAGACACGGCCCAGACUCCUACGGGAGGCAGCAGUGGGGAAUAUUGGACAAUGGGCGCAAGCCUGAUCCAGCCAUGCCGCGUGAGUGAAGAAGGCCUUAGGGUUGUAAAGCUCUUUCAGCGGGGACGAUAAUGACGGUACCCGCAGAAGAAGCCCCGGCUAACUUCGUGCCAGCAGCCGCGGUAAUACGAAGGGGGCUAGCGUUGUUCGGAAUUACUGGGCGUAAAGCGCGCGUAGGCGGAUAUUUAAGUCAGGGGUGAAAUCUCAGGGCUCAACCCUGGAACUGCCUUUGAUACUGGGUAUCUGGAGUUCGGGAGAGGUGAGUGGAAUUCCGAGUGUAGAGGUGAAAUUCGUAGAUAUUCGGAGGAACACCAGAAGCGAAGGCGGCUCACUGGCCCGAUACUGACGCUGAGGCGCGAAAGCGUGGGGAGCAAACAGGAUUAGAUACCCUAGUAGUCC
RNAcentral lists this ribosomal RNA (746 nucleotides) under uncultured bacterium. RNAcentral describes it as "bacterial SSU rRNA". It matches the Rfam family "Bacterial small subunit ribosomal RNA", at positions 8 to 796 of the family's 1533-position model. The record is from RNAcentral.